Long non-coding RNA from Anas platyrhynchos (mallard), 5252 nucleotides. RefSeq lists it as uncharacterized. The record is from RefSeq and is a predicted model, not a curated record. NCBI's taxonomy places the organism in Eukaryota, Metazoa, Chordata, Aves, Anseriformes, Anatidae.
CAGUCAAGUCUCUGGAAUUUCAAAGCAAACAUUUCUGCAUGUCUGGUGCUUCAACUUCUGCCAAGUAAUUUCUUCUGGUAAUCACGUGUCUGGUUUAGCAUACCAGCCUUGCUUCUGACGUCCAUUUCACUGACAGAGCAGGGGUCUUGUUUCUGGUCUCACCCAUGCCUGGAGAAGGCUGCUAGGGACAACAGAGCCACGCAGGUAGCAGAGAAGAAAAAGAUCCAGAUCUGGCUUUGGGUACGUGGCUAUUGUAUUGUAAUAAAAGUGUUCGGCCUGUUCGGCUUGUUCAGGAGUGUACCUGCCACAUGAAGGUGUGCUGCUGCCAAUGGGGGGCCUGGUGGGCCUGCAUGCAGCCCAUGCCAAAAUACACAUGUAUCUUAACAGAGGACAAAUAUAAAAUAUAUAGAAUACAGAUUUUCAGUCAGCAAAAGUCCCUGCUCAAAGAACACUAGAGCUCUAGAAGAGUAGUAAUCAUGCACAUUAACAUAAUCAACACAAUCAACAUUUAAUUUACCAACAGCAAAGCCUCACAAAGCGUUGCCCUGUCCAUAGGCUGAUUUAGCAUGGGAUUGUGCUGCACUCAGAGCCCCCAGCCUGCACCAAUCCACCGACUCACAGCCACGCUGGCUGAAGUAGAAGGUCAGACUGGAAGCUGCAAAGGUUAAGCAGAAAGGAUAAGCAGAAAGGAUUGCCAAGCCAUGCCUAAAGGUGAGUCAGUCUCAGAUGCUUCUGAAUCAAUCACACACUCUCCCAGGCCAUCUCUGCGAUGCUACCUGUGAUGAGCAUGGGAUGGAGAUGCAUCAUUACGCAGUUCUUCCAAGCAUGAUAAUAAAGUCCCUGUGGAUCUGCCAGUACCUAUAGGAAGCUAACAAGAACUGGUAGCUCUCGAUGAAGCUGCCAUGGGUGGGAUUUCCAAGGCAAUGGCUCUCAGGAACCUUCCCUAUAUUCCCACCCACCACUCCCCUGUCUCAGCAAGGAUUAAGAGCAGUCUUUCAUUCUCUGCUGGUACUGCCCCAAACAGAGCCUUCAAGUUCAGAGCCGCUUUUUGAUAAGAGAUGUACAUCUAAAAAGACUCCUUAAGAAUCAAUGUAAAUUUUUAUUUUGUUUUGUUUUAUUUAAAUAUGGAGUCUGCACAAAACAACAGAGAGAAGUACCAGAAAAGAAGAAAUGAAGGAAAGCAAGUAGGUCCAAGCCUGAUACCAGGGACCUGGACUCCACUCACCAUAAGGACAGGUGUGGGAUUUAUUUUCACAGACACCGAUCCUGAAAGAUCCGAGUGAGAAAUGAUUCUUCCCAUUACAAAUGCCUUGUCUGCUGGCUGUACACGUUGCCUGGCAAAACCUGAGCUUUAAGAUGCUGCAAAUAAGAAUGGUCUUACAGUUCAUGCCUGGAUGGGUGAUCUUACCUGUGAUACUACCACAAUCCACAGAUAACCAGUCUGCUGAGAUGGCCUCACCAUUAUUAUAAAUGACAAAACAAUCACAAUUAAAACAUAGAAAAGAAGGAAAAAGAAAAUCUGAUUUUCUAGGCCCAGAAACAUCUCUCAAAUUGGCAGAGCUGUAGCUCUGUAAUCUCCCCUUUACUCCCUGCAGCCUGUCAUGUAACAUUCUUCAGCUGGCAUUGACACCUACCUGCUGGGGCUGUCCAGUUUGUCCAACUGCAAAUUUGACUGUGAAUGCACAGCUCUCCCCUUCAUGCUAAUAAAAAGGGUGAAACCAGAAAAUGAAUGCAUAGGAAAAAUUUAGAGGAAAUAAGGACUAUUACAGCCAUGAUUGAUUAAAAUGUGUGUGAACAUCAGAGAGAUGCAGACCAGUAAUAUUAUGAUACAAGAAUGCAUUUAGCAUUAAGUAUAUAAUCAUAUAAAAUAUGAGUAUAACAGAUAUGAAUCCAGAGAAAGUGUCUGUAUUCAAAUCAUGGAAAUUAAAUUAAACGCCUUCUGAAAAUAACAGCUCUAGCUAUCUGUAUGCCAUAUCUGGUGGGGAAAAGGGCAUCUGGGACACGGCCUGGGAAUUCUUCCUUGGAAAAAAAAUAUUUCUUCUGUAUAUGCCACAGGUUGAGAUGCAGCACUUUUAUGUCAUAUAUUUUUUAUAUUGCAGUUUACGUCUUUAAGACAGAGGCAGAUUAGUGGCAGAUCUCAUGUAUUCUAAGUUCGCCACAGAAUAUAUAGUUAUGCAUUGCUGUUUGGUAUUCCCUCAGCUUUUUGUGAAAAUGCCAAUCACGUAUGGCCAGUUCUAGGAAAAGUCUGUUGUCUGACAGUUUGCUUGAGGUGUUGCUGUCUGAUAAACUACAAGACAUCAGAAUUUUUCGUAGGCAGGAAAAAACAAAAGAUAGAAAACUAUGUGAUAAAAGUAUGUACAGAUACAUCACUAGGUUUUCUCCAGAAGAGUGUUCUAGAAUGGCUGGAGAUCUGUGAGUUGUAAAAAUUAGAAUAAAAGACCUAGGAGAAGUGUGGUGAUGGACAAGAGUGACAUGAGGUCAUCAGAUAUAGUUUUCCAAACAGCAGUGUUUAUUAAGUAAAUGAGCUAUCCCAUUAGCUUCUGCUUGUCCCCAAACAAAUCUUCAUUAACUAACCACUUCUGCCAAGCAUGGCAAACAGCUCAGGCUUGAUUACUGCAGGGAGUCAUCACGGACUGAGCCAGAGAAACCACAGUGUAAGUACAAGUCUAGGAAAAGACAUGCCAGUUGCCUCCAACAUCAGCCAAGUAUUAAAGUAUGGAUUCAGUGGUGACAGAGUGAGAAAGCUGUAGUGAGAGUAAAGACAAAGUGCAUGAAAUCCGAAGUUCUUUACAGAAACACAUUUUAAGCAGACAAACUGAUAAGAAUCAGCAAAACAGCUAUAGUGCAUAAUGGAAAGCUGACUGGCAGAUGCCUGGCACAUCAGCGACACAUGAAACAUUUGCAACCCUCAUUCUACAAAAUGAUUUAAUUGACAUUACUGCUUUUGCAAUGUAAGCCUCUUUUCACUUAAGUUAAUUUGAGAAAUGCAACACUUUCUCCCAAGUUGAUGAAAACCCAUCACUUUGUGACUUUCUGCACUUUGAGAAAGAUAUAUGCUAAUUUGGAUUUUGCAAAAUCUCUACAACUGCCCCAGUAAAAACAUGCCCACUUCUCUCUGUUACACUGUCAAAAAGCAAGCAUGCACCAGUUUUAUUUUGAAAGUAAAAUGUUUUUCAUAACAAUAUGAAUGAGCUAGAUAUUGCUGACAGCUUGAAUUAGUAAUUUCCCUGGGCUUCUUUCUCUCUCCUAAGAAGAAUAAUGUCAUGCUCCAAUAACAAUAAUAGAUUUUUCAAGAGGAAAAAUUAGACGUAAAAGACGAUGCCAGAUGAUGUCAAUGUAGCCAGUGCAAUUCAGUGUCAGAAGCUGACAAUGCCUCAAGGCUCAUAGAAUAUCACUUUGCAGGUGAGAAAAAGAAGUACAGUUUUGAAACUGUAAGCUUAGACCAGGUGGAUAUGCCUAAUCCUAUGCCUAUGAUAAAUUUCAUGUCUCGAAUUACUACACUGAAGUUGUUUGAAAACUAUGCUGUUUAUUUCUGGAGACUAGUGAUAGUAACUGGCAACAUUUUGUAGUUACACAGGUUAAGGUUUAGGAUAAAAAAGACCUUUUUCUUUGUGCUUCUGCAUACGUGCUGGCCGGAAUACCUCAUUGAAAGAGUCCCUGACUCCUCUCAACACAUGCUGGAGAGGCAGCUGGCUGAAGAUUCAGUAAAGCUUCAUUUCCUCAUCAGCAGUAGCUGGCAAAUGCAGUUUUUGCCAGUUCUUUGAAGGUGAUGUGAAGGGCAUACAUGUACCAAGAACAUUCUGAGGAGGAGAAGACAGCUGGCUAGCAGGAAGUGCACUUACUUGCAGUACAAAUCGAAAUAAUCUCUUUAAUAGACACCUGUUAGUUUUGCAAUGGGUGGCCUUUUUGUAUAGUUGUUUAGCACAUGCAUAUGAAAUAUUGUGUCAGUGGUCAGUUCACGAUAUGAUUUUAUAGACAUCAGAUGCAAGGUACCCGGGACUGCUCCAUCUCAUCCUACUAAGCACAAUCUCUUUGCUAAUUGUGGGGGUGGAAAGAGAGAGAGAGCCACUCCUCCUACCUCUUCCAUUUAUGAAUGCAACAGAAACAAUCUUGACAUUUUCUUGUGCCACAACUUUGUCUGUUAUUAUAGCACAGAGAAAGGGUAAAUAUUUACCUCACUGCCAUUCCCCAAGAUGUUGUCUUUUCUAGCAGGAUAAUGGAAAACAAAAAAACAGCAUUUGAAAUGAUUGUCCAGAAACUAUGUUUUGCAAGCCAUUUUUAUACUAUUCCCUAGGAUCUGGUUCAAGAUUUAAACUUUUGUCAGAAAGAGACUAGAAACAUUUACAUUUAUAAUUUUUUAAAAUAUCAUAAACUGAAUUCCAACAGAUUGAUACCCCUGACCCAGACUCUUCUGGUUGUAAAGGCACCUGCAGGAAAAUAGAGGAGCCAGAUGUUUCUGUGACACCAAGCAUAUGGAAAUUAUGAGCUAAUUCUAUGAUGUUGGCAGCUGAGGACACUCAGCACCUUUUACAAUUAGAUCCUCAAUUAGCAAAGUUUGUAGUGGAAAAAAAUCUGUCUCACUUUUGAAGAGUAACAGACUGCUCUGAUCUGCAAUAUUGUACUUAAAAUAUUAAAAAAUCUAUCUACAAAACAGAUGGGAGAAAGAGUUACCCUUCACUUGAUGAAAUUCCAACACUGCUUCUGCAGUCCCAUGAAUUCCCCAAGCUCUUUAAGCUUUCUGUCCAGUGCCUACUCUAAUCUGUCAUGCUCAUUAUUUUCUAUUCACUAGUUACACCAGCCUUUUAAAGGCAAUAAAGGGAUUCUGGAAGCCAUUACUUUGAUGACCAUCUCAUAUCCCUCUCUAUCCCCUGCCUGCGGGGAAACUGGAGACUCAUCACAACCAGAAAAUAUGCCCUAAAAAUGUGUCAACUGCUGGCUACGCUGUUGGAUCAAAUGACAUCAACAUAGUGUGCUAGAUAGCACAUCAUCUGCAUCUAGUCCACAUACCAAUUCAUAUGUGAUGAGGGAAUAAAGAGAAGUCAAAGCAUUUUGUAAACACUCAGGCUGAAAGCCCUGCCCAUCUAUUUCUUACCAUCAUCUAUUCAUACAGGAAAAGGUGUUAUUGAUUCUACAUGUUGAUGAAAUGAGUGAUUUUUGAAGUGCUGGACAUGUUUCUAUUUUACAAAACAAUUCUAGACCUCUUUGCUAACUCAGAGUUAAUUUCUUUUUAAUAAAUUAAAAAAAAAAAAAAA